CUCCCACCCCUAGCCGCCCAAACCAGCCCUCUUCUUUCCUCCUUCUCCUACACGAUAGAACAGCAGGCGUCAGCUUCUUCCUCCCUGGUUCCCCACGGCGGCCAGCAGGGAGCAAGCCAGCAGCCAUGGCGUCCAUCCCUCCUCCCUCAACACUGGCCCACAGGCGCCCAGGCAAGCUUUCCCCGUGGCGCUCGCUCCCUAUAGGCGAGCAGCAGCACCCCCUUCUCAGCGCAGGGAGCAGCAGCUCCUUUCCUCCAUGGCCAUGGCGCCCCCUUUUUCUCUUCCCUGCCGCGGCCAGGAAACGCCUAGGCCCUCGCCUCUCUGUUCCACGCGCCAUUUCUACCUCUCCAGCGAGCUGCUCUCCGGAUCGUCGCUUCCCCUGCUACCUGUGGCCUCGCCCAGAUCCGGCCAUGGCCGCUCCCAUCGACAACCGAGCUCAUUUUCUGUAGCCGGCCAUUCGCUUUGCCCCCAUGGUCAUGUGCAGCGAGCUCUAUUUCCCAGCGCUCUCGCUUGCUCGACGGAAUGCCGCAACGCGAAGCAACCAUGGGAUCCCAUCCGUGUCGCUUGCGCCGACCCGGAACUGCGCAGUGCCCAGUCGGUGCUUGCUAUGUGCUCAAUAAAAUGCGCAGCAAGCCACGCGUCGUCGAUUUCCUACAGCAGCCCCGGCAUCUCCGCGCACUGCCGGCUCGCUGUUUUAUAAAGCGCAGUGAACAGCACGCCGUCGACACUCGCCGGGUGUUUGCUGUUUUUGCGCAACCCCAUCCGCGACGCCGUCGGAACCCGUGCUAGCUGUCAAUGCCAUUCGUCGCGCACGCGUGUUCGAUACAAGACCGGUCGGGUGAACCACGUGCUUGCACAACCCAAAUCCGAUCCCGUUCAGGACCGAGAGAUGACGAUCGUGCAAGUGAUGUGGUGCCAACAACAAGAUGCAGUUGGUGGACGACCUGAAGGAUGGACUUAACCAGUGGAUGCUCGCCGAGCGAGUACCCUCCCCCAACAAACACUAUCAAAGUGUCAAAUUAAAGGUACCUCCUUGCUUUAGUUGAUGGUGUGACUUGGCCUUCGUCCCUACCACCGGGACAGACGGUCGAGUGGGUUAUUGCUUCCGCAGGAGAGGACCAGGAGGAGUAGCGUGGCCAGGCUUCGCCAUGUUACUCGGUUUUCUCCGUUAGUUAUUUCCGCUGCAUUAAAAUUUAUGGUUAUUAUUUCUGAAACUCCGAUAAUGUAAUCACUGAUUAUACUUAUUAAAUUUGUGGCAUUAUGUUUU
Molecule: RNA transcript, 1267 nt
Organism: Zea mays
Lineage: Eukaryota; Viridiplantae; Streptophyta; Magnoliopsida; Poales; Poaceae
Exons: 4
Source: RefSeq, marked validated